This 337-nucleotide unclassified non-coding RNA is filed under the name soil metagenome. RNAcentral describes it as "partial contains 5.8S ribosomal RNA, internal transcribed spacer 2, and large subunit ribosomal RNA". The stretch from base 1 to 120 matches the Rfam family "5.8S ribosomal RNA", at positions 35 to 154 of the family's 154-position model. The record is from RNAcentral.
GAUGAAGAAGGCAGCGAAAUGCGAUAAGUAAUGUGAAUUGCAGAAUUCAGUGAAUCAUCGAAUCUUUGAACGCACAUUGCGCCCCUUGGUAUUCCGAGGGGCAUGCCUGUUCGAGCGUCAUUACACCACUCAAGCUAUGCUUGGUAUUGGGCGUCGUCCUUAGUUGGGCGCGCCUUAAAGACCUCGGCGAGGCCACUCCGGCUUUAGGCGUAGUAGAAUUUAUUCGAACGUCUGUCAAAGGAGAGGAACUCUGCCGACUGAAACCUUUAUUUUUCUAGGUUGACCUCGGAUCAGGUAGGGAUACCCGCUGAACUUAAGCAUAUCAAUAAGCGGAGGA